Molecule: transfer RNA, 74 nt
Filed under: Aeriscardovia sp.
Lineage: Bacteria; Bacillati; Actinomycetota; Actinomycetes; Bifidobacteriales; Bifidobacteriaceae
Description: tRNA-Ile
Rfam family: tRNA
About the family: Transfer RNA (tRNA) molecules are approximately 80 nucleotides in length. Their secondary structure includes four short double-helical elements and three loops (D, anti-codon, and T loops). Further hydrogen bonds mediate the characteristic L-shaped molecular structure. tRNAs have two regions of fundamental functional importance: the anti-codon, which is responsible for specific mRNA codon recognition, and the 3' end, to which the tRNAs corresponding amino acid is attached (by aminoacyl-tRNA synthetases). tRNAs cope with the degeneracy of the genetic code in two manners: having more than one tRNA (with a specific anti-codon) for a particular amino acid; and 'wobble' base-pairing, i.e. permitting non-standard base-pairing at the 3rd anti-codon position.
Source: RNAcentral
GGGGAUGUAGCUCAGUCGGUCAGAGCAGCGAACUCAUAAUUCGUCGGUCCAGGGUUCAAGUCCCUGCGUCCCCA